GUCGCGAAACGAGGCACAAGCCGAAGCUCAGGGUGAGAGUGUAAAUAGUCGCGCACAGCACGCCUCGUAGCGCUCGCGUCCGGAGGUGCGAGCGAGCGAGGUGCGAGCUGUGAUACGAGACGAAGCACAAGACGAGGGAAACUCUUUCUACGAACCGUCUAACCGGCCUUGGUGGGGCCGGAGAGGAUGUGUGAGACUCGGCCUGGAAAUGUAUACACUACCUACAUUAAAGCUUUAAACUUCAUACCUUUAAUAAUAUACAUCUCGUCUGCCCGUGAUCACGGUUGCUGCAAAGUGACCGAAACGUCGGGAGUAUGUAGUUUUAUGAAAAUAAUAAAAUAGGCGUAGUAUAAUCGGAAAAA
Molecule: long non-coding RNA, 362 nt
Organism: Danaus plexippus (monarch butterfly)
Lineage: Eukaryota; Metazoa; Arthropoda; Insecta; Lepidoptera; Nymphalidae
Exons: 3
Source: RefSeq, a predicted model, not a curated record